UAGCUAUUCCUCAAGGGCAUACGAAAGAAUUAUAUUAUCCUACAAAGAUUCAGAAUUCGAAGUCAAUAUAUAUAUAUAUAUUGUUUAUUAAAAAAAAUCAGAUAUAUUUUUAUAUGAAAUUACCUACUAAUUUGGAUUCGAGAGUGAAGAAAAGUGUUGGGAAAAUCACAACAACAAGGGACAAAUUGUCACAAAAUAACGAGAGGGCAUCGAGAAUUAGUAAUCAAUAAAACACUAAAAUGAAAUCAAUAAAAACCAAAUUCUUUAGUUUUAACCUUAUGAAACUAUAACCGAUUGGAAGUGAGGGCAACAAAUUUGUUCUUCAAUGCCGCAAAUUGAGUCUCCUUCCCAGCAAUAGACCAACAUAGAUUUCAAAAGAAAUCAUUUCAGAACCAAGUAUUGAAAAAAAUGAUGAAAAAAUAUAAAAUCAGGACGAAAUCGUUCCGACGCCGAGGAAUCCCCUUCGUCAGCUGACUCGCCGAUCUCGUCCCGAGGUAGCUAUCGUCGCCUCUGCCAGAAAUCUCGGUCAGAAGAAUAAAAGAGGAAGAAGAAAGUAGAGGAGAAUAGAGGAGAAAGGGAAUAAUGGAGGAGAAGGGG
This 597-nucleotide long non-coding RNA is filed under the name Linum usitatissimum (flax). Its description in RNAcentral is "long non-coding RNA (LUSI_LNC003555)". The record is from RNAcentral. Lineage: Eukaryota; Viridiplantae; Streptophyta; Magnoliopsida; Malpighiales; Linaceae.